RNAcentral lists this long non-coding RNA (1777 nucleotides) under Marmota monax (woodchuck). Lineage: Eukaryota; Metazoa; Chordata; Mammalia; Rodentia; Sciuridae. The record is from RNAcentral.
CUUUGACCCAUCUCUGGAUUGCGAGAGCAAUUCCUAGCAGCAAGGGACUCCAUAACUGAGGACACCCUAGAGUGAGCUGGGCACCAAGACCGCCAGGCCUUCACCUCCAGGGGAGUGAGGAGAGCAUGCAGAGCUUCCCCGGCCAUGGAACUGUGCAGAGGGGCUUGGCAGGGUGCAGCGGGGCCUGGGAGCUCAGCAAGUGGGCCUCACCACCCUCACCUUGAGGAGGCACUUCUGUUUGGAGCAAGGGCCAGAGAGUUCUCCAGGGUGUCAAGCAGAUGUCUACAAUCUCAGUUGAGACUUAGACGUUGAUUUUUGCCUGAGGGUGGGCAGCAAAACUGACCUCAGCUCUCAACCCAUGUGCCCAGGGCUCUGCCUCCAAUUUUCUAAGUGACCUUGGGCAAAACCUCAGUUUCCCUACCAUGAAAGGAGAUGACAGGUACCUUCAGUGCCGGUCAAGCACUUGCUCCUGGAGCCCUGGUUGUGGGUGGGGAGUGCUCAGGUUCACAGCCCACAGGCCCAACAGCAGAACCCAGCUGGGAGAGGCGGGGUCCGCAGGCUUUGAAGCUGGAGGGGGCCACAUCCUGAAAUGGCUAAAGGACGAAAACCCAGCCUCUCUCCUCCUAAGGACAAGGACAGGAGACAGUGAUUUGGAUGUCAUCACUCACCUACCAAACUGCACCAACUUGCCCCAACACCCUAGAAUCAGAAUCCCUUGCGCUGGCCAAGGGGAAUGGACACUCCCCAGUGGUAGCAGACAGUCUGGACUGUCCGCCAGUGGUGGAUGGUGGCUCAGGUGUGGGACCCACAUCCUUCCCUUUGAUCCAAGUUUGUCUGCUUCUAAAUCCAGAGGGAGGAUGGAGAUGUGACCAGAGCUCAGGGCGCGGAGCUCACAUGCCUCAGAGCCCUGCAUGGGACGCUGCCAGCGUCCAGCAGAGGGGACUUCUCGUCCCUGGCACAGCCAGCGCUCUGAAGCCAUUUAAAAUGAUGGUGUCUGAUGAAGCUCCCAGACUGCCAUCAACGCUCCUUAGAGGACCAUGAACCGUGUUAGUGGGGUAGGUUAGGAUUUUAAGUAAAAUAACCUUAGAGAGAGGCUUCCCAGGCAGGGCCAGUGUCGGGUGAACUGCAGUGUGUGUUUGUGUAUGUGUUUGAGGACACUGUGUCCUGUGUGAAUGGUGUCCCAGAGGGGGAGGAGAGGCGGCUGGAAGAAAGGCCAAGGGACAGGCCAGGGGACACCGGCCAGAGGUUUCUGGUAUGCCAGUGUCAGAGAUGGAAGCCGAGACAGCCCAGACACCGGUGCAGGUGGCUCUGGACCUCUGACACCCCUGCUGAGCACUCCCUGUUCCUGGGGGUGGGGGGCCCUACACCUCAGGGACAGAGGACUGGCCCAAACCCCAGGCUUGUUACCACUCACUGUCCAGGAGGGGUCUUUGCACCCCAUUUCCCACUCAGCUUGGGAAAGCUGUAGUGCCACCUCAGAGCCCCUCUGCAGAUAGAUCACCCCCAGUGCACACUGGUGACAGCCCAUGGACAACUGUACCCUGGUCCCCAGGCUGGCUGUGCCAGGCAGUCACCUCACCCUGUCUGCUGCUCUGUGGGAGGCCAGGCUCUAGGGGCGCCUCUCAGGCCUAAUGCCCUCCUGGCUGAGCUGGCAGAGCGUGGGCAGCCUCUAGCUGUGCUGGAGGUUUCUAUACAAAGUCUCUGGAACCUUCUCCAGGCCCCGCCUCCACCUUUGGGUUCCUGGUUCGCACUCGCACACGGGGCCCCAGUCCUGGCC